CCUACGGGUGGCUGCAGUGGGGAAUAUUGGACAAUGGGGGGAACCCUGAUCCAGCCAUGCCGCGUGUGUGAAGAAGGCCCUCGGGUUGUAAAGCACUUUCAGUGAGGAAGAACGCCUGGUGGUUAAUACCCAUCAGGAAAGACAUCACUCACAGAAGAAGCACCGGCUAACUCCGUGCCAGCAACCGCGGUAAUACGGAGGGUGCGAGCGUUAAUCGGAAUUACUGGGCGUAAAGCGCGCGUAGGUGGCUUGAUAAGCCGGUUGUGAAAGCCCCGGGCUCAACCUGGGAACGGCAUCCGGAACUGUCAAGCUAGAGUGCAGGAGAGGAAGGUAGAAUUCCCGGUGUAGCGGUGAAAUGCGUAGAGAUCGGGAGGAAUACCAGUGGCGAAGGCGGCCUUCUGGACUGACACUGACACUGAGGUGCGAAAGCGUGGGUAGCAAACAGGAUUAGAUACCCGUGUAGUC
Molecule: ribosomal RNA, 465 nt
Filed under: Vreelandella stevensii
Lineage: Bacteria; Pseudomonadati; Pseudomonadota; Gammaproteobacteria; Oceanospirillales; Halomonadaceae
Description: partial 16S ribosomal RNA
Rfam family: Bacterial small subunit ribosomal RNA
Source: RNAcentral